GCCUCUUUGGCCAAGUGGUAAGGCGUCGCACUCGUAAUGCGAAGAUCAUUGGUUCAAAUCCGAUAGGAGGCA
Transfer RNA from Brettanomyces bruxellensis AWRI1499, 72 nucleotides. It matches the Rfam family "tRNA". From Rfam's summary of the family: Transfer RNA (tRNA) molecules are approximately 80 nucleotides in length. The record is from Rfam. Lineage: Eukaryota; Fungi; Ascomycota; Pichiomycetes; Pichiales; Pichiaceae.